AGACUGCGGUUUUUAUACUCUUUUGAGAAAUAUAAAGGAGGCACAGAAGGCAUGUGGUAUGCAAAAAAGUAUAAAAUAGAAUUGAACUGUGCAAGAGGAUCCAGGAAUUAAAAAGGGGUUGUUACAUUCAUUGACUUGAAUAAUAUUGCAUAUGGACACAUCCUAUGCAAAUCAGUAUGCGGAACUGACGCUGUUUGGUUCACGUUUUAACAACUCCACUCGUCGUAUGCUAAUUCACCAAUGCCCCUUUUGCCAUGGAACUUUGGAAUGCUUAAUCCUAGGACGACAAUGGACGCAACUGGUUCAUAUCUUUUGCGCUGAAGUCGCUUUAUUGGAAAAUUUGAAUCUCCAUUCGUGGAAUUUGGUUAAAACGUUAACAAACAUUAAUUUUUACAAUAAAAGAACACAAACAAAUAAACUGUGAAAUAAGAUUAAUAAAUAAUAAAUAAUA
This 451-nucleotide unclassified non-coding RNA is filed under the name Bombus terrestris (buff-tailed bumblebee). RNAcentral describes it as "misc RNA ENSBTSG00005025616.1". Lineage: Eukaryota; Metazoa; Arthropoda; Insecta; Hymenoptera; Apidae. The record is from RNAcentral.